GGGCGCUUGGUCUAGGGGUAUGAUUUUCGUUUUGCAUAUGAAAGGUCAUGGGUUCAAUUCCCAUAGUGUCCA
Molecule: transfer RNA, 72 nt
Filed under: Blumeria hordei DH14
Lineage: Eukaryota; Fungi; Ascomycota; Leotiomycetes; Helotiales; Erysiphaceae
Description: tRNA-Ala (TGC) (tRNA-Ala-TGC-3-1)
Rfam family: tRNA
About the family: Transfer RNA (tRNA) molecules are approximately 80 nucleotides in length.
Source: RNAcentral